RNAcentral lists this ribosomal RNA (351 nucleotides) under uncultured bacterium. RNAcentral describes it as "bacterial SSU rRNA". It matches the Rfam family "Bacterial small subunit ribosomal RNA", at positions 29 to 407 of the family's 1533-position model. The record is from RNAcentral.
AACGAACGCUGGCGGCAUGCCUAACACAUGCAAGUCGAACGAGACCUUCGGGUCUAGUGGCGCACGGGUGCGUAACGCGUGGGAAUCUACCCUUGGGUUCGGAAUAACUCAGAGAAAUUUGAGCUAAUACCGGAUGAUGUCGCAAGACCAAAGAUUUAUCGCCCAAGGAUGAGCCCGCGUAGGAUUAGCUUGUUGGUGAGGUAAAAGCUCACCAAGGCGACGAUCCUUAGCUGGUCUGAGAGGAUGAUCAGCACACUGGGACUGAGACACGGCCCAGACUCCUACGGGAGGCAGCAGUGGGGAAUAUUAGGACAAUGGGCGAAAGCCUGAUCCAGCAAUGCCGCGUGAGUG